RNAcentral lists this ribosomal RNA (438 nucleotides) under uncultured Clostridium sp. RNAcentral's name for it is "partial 16S ribosomal RNA". It matches the Rfam family "Bacterial small subunit ribosomal RNA", at positions 341 to 792 of the family's 1533-position model. Lineage: Bacteria; Bacillati; Bacillota; Clostridia; Eubacteriales; Clostridiaceae. The record is from RNAcentral.
ACGGGAGGCAGCAGUGGGGAAUAUUGCACAAUGGGGGAAACCCUGAUGCAGCAACGCCGCGUGAAGGAUGAAGGUUUUCGGAUCGUAAACUUCUAUCAACAGGGAAGAAACAAAUGACGGUACCUGAAUAAGAAGCCCCGGCUAACUACGUGCCAGCAGCCGCGGUAAUACGUAGGGGGCAAGCGUUAUCCGGAAUUACUGGGUGUAAAGGGAGCGUAGGCGGCAUGUCAAGCCAGAUGUGAAAGCCCGGGGCUUAACCCCGAGGAUUGCAUUUGGAACUGGCAAGCUAGAGUACAGGAGAGGAAAGCGGAAUUCCUAGUGUAGCGGUGAAAUGCGUAGAUAUUAGGAAGAACACCAGUGGCGAAGGCGGCUUUCUGGACUGAAACUGACGCUGAGGCUCGAAAGCGUGGGGAGCAAACAGGAUUAGAUACCCUGGUA